AGAAAUUCCCAGAAUACAUCUCACCCUGUAUUCAACAUUUAUGUCCAAACUAACGAUGGACAAGGGAAAGAGUGGGGGCAAUAUUAUGUCCAUUACAGAAUCAAAAAUGUCUCCCAACUGCCCUCUGGUGGCGACAAGAGGAACAGUUACCAAAUAGCUGUUGCUAUGAGGUCCCUAAGCAUCCGUGCAAGCGCUUCAACUUCAACUGGCUAUGUGGAGCACCCAAGCCAAAGUCCUCAGAGGCCACUCGACUUAGUCCAACAGACACGCCGUCCCAGCCACACUCCCCUCACUACCCACCACACUACAGGUCAACAUGCCCGAGGCGGCCGAAGUCCCAGCCCAGUGCCUGGCUCCCAAAGCAGAGAUGGAGAAGUGUGUCCAGGGGAAAGGAGCAGAGGCCUGCAAGGACCUUGUAGAAGCCUUCGCGGCAUGUGUGAAGAGUGCUUCUUCGUGAGAGAGAUCCAUGCUUCCACAUCACAAGUCCAUCAUUUUGAUUUUUGAGGGGUUGAGUCUACCAAUUUCCCAGCAUUCCCUGAUGCACAUUGCACUGGACUAAACCAUCUUUGGGACGGGAGUGGGGGUGUUGAUCUUCAGGAGGCCAUAGCAAGCCCCCUCUUAAUCCUGCCAUACCAUGUUUGUGUCCCUAUUACAGUUCAUGUACAUAUGUGCCCCCAAAAAAUUGAUUUUAAAUGUGAUAUUGUCUGUGUACAUGCACUGUACAUGUCAUUUCAUUAUGAAUUAAGUUUAUGCACUGGCAGUAGUGAAUGCAAUUUCAGAGCUAUAUGUCUUUUAGUAGGGUGUCUGGUUCUAUAAUAAUAAAAGAACUAAAACAA
Molecule: long non-coding RNA, 836 nt
Organism: Sardina pilchardus (European sardine)
Lineage: Eukaryota; Metazoa; Chordata; Actinopteri; Clupeiformes; Clupeidae
Exons: 5
Source: RefSeq, a predicted model, not a curated record